GGGCGGUUAGAUCAGUGGUAGUAUCGCUCGCUUUGCAUGCGAGAGGUCGUGGGUUCAAUCCCCACACCGUCCA
Molecule: transfer RNA, 73 nt
Organism: Blumeria graminis f. sp. tritici 96224
Lineage: Eukaryota; Fungi; Ascomycota; Leotiomycetes; Helotiales; Erysiphaceae
Rfam family: tRNA
About the family: Transfer RNA (tRNA) molecules are approximately 80 nucleotides in length. Their secondary structure includes four short double-helical elements and three loops (D, anti-codon, and T loops).
Source: Rfam